GCGCGAGUGGCGGAAUGGCAGACGCGCUGGCUUCAGGUGCCAGUGUCCGUAAGGACGUGGGGGUUCAAGUCCCCCCUCGCGCACCA
RNAcentral lists this transfer RNA (86 nucleotides) under Microcella sp. Its description in RNAcentral is "tRNA-Leu". It matches the Rfam family "tRNA". Rfam says of the family: Transfer RNA (tRNA) molecules are approximately 80 nucleotides in length. The record is from RNAcentral. RNAcentral also lists the same sequence under 2 other names. Lineage: Bacteria; Bacillati; Actinomycetota; Actinomycetes; Micrococcales; Microbacteriaceae.